AGAAUCAACGCUGGCGGCGUGCCUAACACAUGCAAGUCGAACGAGAAAGUGGAGCAAUCCAUGAGUAAAGUGGCGACCGGGUGAGUAACACGUGACUAACCUACCUUCGAGUGGGGGAUAACCUCGGGAAAACCGAGGCUAAUACCGCAUAACAUCGCAAGAUCAAAGCAGCAAUGCGCUGGAAGAGGGGGUCGCGGCUGAUUAGCUAGUUGGCGGGGUAACGGCCCACCAAGGCGAAGAUCGGUAGCCGGCCUGAGAGGGCGCACGGCCACACUGGAACUGAAACACGGUCCAGACUCCUACGGGAGGCAGCAGUGGGGAAUUUUGCGCAAUGGGGGAAACCCUGACGCAGCAACGCCGCGUGGAGGAUGAAGCCCCUUGGGGCGUAAACUCCUUUCGACCAAGACGAUAAUGACGGUACUGGUGGAAGAAGCACCGGCUAACUCUGUGCCAGCAGCCGC
Molecule: ribosomal RNA, 461 nt
Filed under: uncultured bacterium
Lineage: Bacteria
Description: SSU rRNA
Rfam family: Bacterial small subunit ribosomal RNA
Source: RNAcentral